UCCCUCGCCACCGCCACCACCCAUGCCGGCCGGUUCCGGCGAACUCAGGCGGCGCGCAGCACGCCCCCGAGCUCCCCUAGGUCCGCUCCACCUUCCCCUCCGUCCAGAAUCGGCGCUCCCGUCCUCCACCGACCCCGUGGCUAGCUAGGGUUUCGACCGCCACCCCUAACAUCGUCGGGAUCAGCCAGAUCCGGCGACGGCGAGGCCAGAGCUCGACGGAUCCGUUACGGGCGUGGCGCAGGUACGUCCUUCCCCUCUUUCCUCGCCCGGAUCCACCCUCCCCACCUCACCUUCUCCUUUCCUUCCCUUGCUGCAGGUCACCUUGGUGCGGUCUGGACGGCGGCGACGGCAGGAGGGCGCGUCCUUCCUACUCGAGGAGGUGGAGGACGAGGGGCGCACCUAGCUGGCGGCCCUGUCCUGCUCGAGGAGGCGGGGGCUGCCGAGCUCAAGCACGGCCACGACGACCCACCUCGGCAGG
Molecule: long non-coding RNA, 478 nt
Filed under: Triticum aestivum (bread wheat)
Lineage: Eukaryota; Viridiplantae; Streptophyta; Magnoliopsida; Poales; Poaceae
Description: long non-coding RNA (TAES_LNC017402)
Source: RNAcentral